CAGUAGCCGCGGUAACACGGAGGGGGCUAGCGUUGUUCGGAAUUACUGGGCGUAAAGCGCACGUAGGCGGCUUUGCAAGUCAGAGGUGAAAGCCCGGGGCUCAACUCCGGAAUAGCCUUUGAGACUGCAUCGCUUGAACACGGGAGAGGUGAGUGGAAUUCCGAGUGUAGAGGUGAAAUUCGUAGAUAUUCGGAAGAACACCAGUGGCGAAGGCGGCUCACUGGACCGUUGUUGACGCUGAGGUGCGAAAGCGUGGGGAGCAAACAGGAUUAGAUACCCGGGUAGUCCCUGUCUCUUAUAC
Molecule: ribosomal RNA, 301 nt
Filed under: uncultured bacterium
Lineage: Bacteria
Description: partial 16S ribosomal RNA
Rfam family: Bacterial small subunit ribosomal RNA
Source: RNAcentral